RNAcentral lists this ribosomal RNA (484 nucleotides) under uncultured bacterium. RNAcentral describes it as "partial 16S ribosomal RNA". It matches the Rfam family "Bacterial small subunit ribosomal RNA", at positions 30 to 507 of the family's 1533-position model. The record is from RNAcentral.
AUUGAACGCUGGCGGCAGGCCUAACACAUGCAAGUCGAGCAGAUGAAGGGAGCUUGCUCCUGGAUUCAGCGGCGGACGGGUGAGUAAUGCCUAGGAAUCUGCCUGGUAGUGCGGGAUAACGUCCGGAAACGGGCGCUAAUACCGCAUACGUCCUGAGGGAGAGAGUGGGGGAUCUUCGGACCUCACGCUAUCAGAUGAGCCUAGGUCGGAUUAGCUAGUUGGUGGGGUAAAGGCCUACCAAGGCGACGAUCCGUAACUGGUCUGAGAGGAUGAUCAGUCACACUGGAACUGAGACACGGUCCAGACUCCUACGGGAGGCAGCAGUGGGGAAUAUUGGACAAUGGGCGAAAGCCUGAUCCAGCCAUGCCGCGUGUGUGAAGAAGGUCUUCGGAUUGUAAAGCACUUUAAGUUGGGAGGAAGGGCAGUAAGUUAAUACCUUGCUGUUUUGACGUUACCAACAGAAUAAGCACCGGCUAACUUCGUG